CUACGGGUGGCUGCAGUGGGGAAUAUUGCACAAUGGAGGAAACUCUGAUGCAGCAACGCCGCGUGGAGGAUGACACUUUUCGGAGCGUAAACUCCUUUUAUAUAGGAAGAAGAUGACGGUACUAUAUGAAUAAGCGCCGGCUAACUCCGUGCCAGCAGCCGCGGUAAUGACGGAGGGCGCAAGCGUUACUCGGAAUCACUGGGCGUAAAGAGGGUGUAGGCGGAUUAAAAAGUCAGAAGUGAAAUCCUAUAGCUUAACUAUAGAACUGCUUCUGAAACUCUUAAUCUAGAAUAUGGGAGAGGUAGAUGGAAUUUCUGGUGUAGGGGUAAAAUCCGUAGAGAUCAGAAGGAAUACCGAUUGCGAAGGCGAUCUACUAGAACAUUAUUGACGCUGAGACGCGAAAGCGUGGGGAGCAAACAGGAUUAGAUACCCUAGUAGUC
This 440-nucleotide ribosomal RNA is filed under the name uncultured bacterium. Its description in RNAcentral is "partial 16S ribosomal RNA". It matches the Rfam family "Bacterial small subunit ribosomal RNA", at positions 339 to 795 of the family's 1533-position model. The record is from RNAcentral.